UACGAGUGCUUCAAGCGUUAUCCGGAAUCAUUGGGCGUAAAGGGUGCGUAGGCGGUCCUGUUAGUCUCGCGUUAAAUUUACCGGCUCAACCGGUAAGCUGCGUGGGAAACGGCAGGACUAAGAGGACGGGAGAGGUCUCUGGAACUCAUGGUGUAGCGGUGAAAUGCGUUGAUAUCAUGGGGAACACCAAAAGCGAAGGCAAGAGACUGGCCCGCUCCUGACGCUGAAGCACGAAAGCGUGGGUCGCGAAUGGG
Molecule: ribosomal RNA, 254 nt
Filed under: uncultured bacterium
Lineage: Bacteria
Description: partial 16S ribosomal RNA
Rfam family: Bacterial small subunit ribosomal RNA
Source: RNAcentral